CUGGAAGCGUGUGAGUGUGUGUGUGUGUGACUGUGUGUGUGCGCGCGUGUGUAUGUUUGUGUGUGAGUGUGACUGUGUGUGCGCGCGCACGUGCAUGAGUGUGAGUGUGAGAGCGUGUGAGAGUUUGUGCGUGUGUAUGUUUGUGCGUGAGUGUGACAGUGAGUGUGUGCACGCACGUGCAUGAGUGUGUGAGUGUGAGAGCGUGUGAGAGUUUGUGUAUGUGUGUGAGUGUGAGAGCGUGAGAGUUUGUGUGCGUGUGUAUGUUUGUGUGUGUGACAGUGUGAGUGUGUGCGCGCACGUGCGUGAGUGUGUGAGUGUGAGAACGUGUAAGAGUGUGUGUGCGCGUGUGUAUGUUUGUGUGUGAGCGUGAGAGUGUGUGCGUGUGCGCGCGCACGUGUGUGUGGUGUGUGAGUGUCUCUGUGUGUGAGUGUGAGUGUGCGUGAGUGUGCGUGAGUGUGUAAGUGCAUGAUGUGUGCAUGUGUAAGUGUGUGAGGGAGUGUGAGAGUGUGUGCAUGUGUGUGAGAGUGUAUGCAUGUGAGUGUGUGAGAGUGUGUCUGAGUGUGUGUGUGUGUGUGUGUGCGCGCGCGCAUGUGCUGCUUUGACAAAGGAGGGGCUCCGAUCGAGAAACCAGAUGUCGCUUCCGGACCCAAAGGCUAAGCCGGUGGCAGCCUCAGCCGCUAGCUGGAGCCUGCGGUGUGGGUGUGGGACAGUCACUCCUCCCCGCCGGGGCAGGGGCGCUGGUGCUCAGGGGCCCACGGUUGCAGCCUGGAGUGAAUGGUUUGUCGCCUCCUCCAAAAAUAGCAGAGAGCGGGAGUUGGAGUGUUAGCCUUUUCUCUUAGUGGACAGUAGCCAAAAGAGGGAUGGAGUCAAAGCAUCCAGAAGGCGUUAAAAACUGCUUUGAUGAGAUGGAAGUCACCUAUGCUCACAUUCCAUGGACCAAAAUCAGGCAAAUGGGCAAGUUCAAAGUCAGUGAUGCCACCAUUGUACUUUGCAGCCAAUAUGAUAGAAGAGCUCUGCAUUCUGAAAGUUUCUUGAGCAGAACCGUAGAAGGAACACAAAGACAAGAACCCUAGAGGAGCUGGGUGAUGGUGGCACACACGUUUAAUCCCAGCACUUGGGAGGCAGAUGCAGGCGGAUCUCUGUGAACUUGAGGCCGGCUUGGUCUACAGAGUAAGUUUCAGGACACUCAGAACUGUUACACAGAGAAACCCUAUUUUGAAAACUAAACCAAAGCAAACACCAACCAACCAAAAAGGAAUCUUAGAGGAGAGGGAGUGCCUGGGGAGUUAGACAGGGCACCAAGCUUUAUUCUAAUGCCAAGGCAUUUCCUUAGGUUUGGCAUCAUUUACUCUGCCCACAGAUGUCAAUCCUGCACAGAUGUCAUGGUGUAG
Molecule: long non-coding RNA, 1391 nt
Filed under: Cricetulus griseus (Chinese hamster)
Lineage: Eukaryota; Metazoa; Chordata; Mammalia; Rodentia; Cricetidae
Description: lncRNA (ENSCGRG00015033071.1)
Source: RNAcentral